AACAGAUGGAGCGCCUUCCAUCAAGGACCUCAAUGCACCUUAGAAACAUCAUGAGUCAUCAAAGCCCUUCUGUAAUGGAGGUAAAUAUCCAUGGCCACAAUUUUACAGUUAAAGAAGCACGAAGAAGUCUAACAACGGUUAGAAGUACUUCUUUAUAGCUGGGAAUGAGACAACCAGGUGAAAUGUGGACCCUGGAGAAACUCCAACCAGCCUGCCCACUGAAGUGGACCCUCAGGUAGUUGGUACCCUUUGCAGCGGGGAGAAGCUUGGCCCCUCCUCUUCCUGUGUGGAAGCUGGGAUUCAAAUGGCAGGAGACAGGAACUCUGUCUUUAGCUGAACUAAGGAAAAGUCCUGCAACAGCAUGAUGCUGGUGUGUCCAGAAUUGGUUCCUGCCGGUGGGAUCGUGGUCUCACUGACUUCAAGAACGAAGCCGCAGACCUUGGCGGUGAGUGUUAUAGCUCUUAAAGAUGGCAUGGACCCAAAGAGUGAGUGGUAGCAAGGUUUAUUGUGAAGUGUGAAAGGACAAAACUUCUACGGCAUGGAAGGGGACCCGAGCAGGUUGCUGCUUCUGGCUGGGGUGGCCAACUUUUAUUCCCUUAUUGUCCCCUUCCAUGUUCCAUUUCUGUCCUAUCACAGUGCCCUUUUUUCAAUCCUCCCCGCAAUUGGCUACUUUUAUAAUCCUGCUUAUUGGUGCAUUUUACAGAGUGCUGAUUGGUGUGUUUUACAAUCCUCGUGUAAGACAGGAAAGUUCCCCAAAUCCCCACACAACCCAAGAAGUCCAGCUGGCCUCACCUCUCACUGACAUCUUCUCGGGAGCCCUCAAGAAGCUUUCAUGGUGGAAGGCAAAGGGGAAGCCAGCACGUCUUCCACGGCCAGAGCCGGAGCAAGAGAGAGACAGAGGAGAUGCCCCACACUAUUUAAAUGAACAGAUCUCAUGAGAACUCACUCACUAUCACAAGAACAUCAGCAAGGGGGAAAUCUGCCCCAUGAGCCAAUCACCUCCCACCAGGCCCCACUUCCAAUAUUGAAGAUUACAAUUCAACAUGUGAUUUGGGCAGGGACACACAUCCAAGCCAUAUCAAUAACUCAACUAAUCCAAACUGGAGGGGCAAACAAGCAGCUGGGGCCCUACACUGAUCCUCAGUUGCCCAACUUCUUUGGGCUUUGAUAAAAACAGAUGCAUUUCUGACAUCAUAUUUUUUUUUAAUUAAGAUUUUCUAGAGAGACAGGGUCUCAUGAUAUUGUUUAGGCUGGUCUCUAGCUCCUGGCCUCAAGCAAUUCUUCCACGUUGGCCUCCCAAAGUGCUGGGAUUACAAACGUGAGCCACUGUGCCUGGCCUGUCAUCAUAAUUUAAAUGGAGAAAACAUUAUUUUAAAUCACUUGGUCCUGAAAAAUCUUAAUGGUUUGGUUGAUUAUAUACAAAUAUAUGCUUGUGCAUUCUUUGUGCUAUUUCUAGUAGUUUUGCUUACAGGUUUAUUUCAUACAGCUGUUAGUGUCAUUUUUCCAGUACUAAAAAAUAUCCUAACAGCAGUAAUACACCACACAAUUAAAAUGACCACACACACACACACACAGACACGCACAGGCACAUAUCUCUCUAUUGUUAAUGGUCUAGUAGUCAGAUUCAAAAUGGAGAAAUUUGUUGUAAAGAUAUUAACACACAAUGGUCUUUAUAGAUCAUUGCUUCCAAAGAUGCACUAAAAGUUGAAAUUGUGUUCAUUUUCUGGGAAAAUUAAUAUGUAACAUUCUGAAAGUCUGCAUCUUUCAUUGGUCCUUCUAAUAGGCUCACGGUUUCAUUUCCUUUGUUUUGCUCAAGUCAGUAAUGCAAAUGUUAAGCUCCCUCUAUUAGUGCCCCUUAAAAGUAAGUUGAUACUUUGGAGCUCUUAAGUGGACCUAAAUGGUUUUUCAGGCAUUAUCAUUUCUGUUUUCCACUAGCCAGGGAGACCCUAAGGGUGGGGAGACAUGGCUUCUUUGUAACCCUCACAAUGCCCGUACAGUCCAUUAUGGGCUUAGUAGGAUUUUUUGUUAUUAACUUGGGAAUGCCGUAGUUGUCUGUAGAAGUGAACAGGAAAUAAACAUUGUCUACAUGUGGAAAUGAUGCAAAUUUUAAACUCUUAUAGUACACUUUUCAAGCCAAUUUUAAGUUGAGACUCAGAGUGUAGAAAAGUAAGCCUUCUAUAAUGUAUCUCUGAGCAGGGCCAUUUUACUUAAAAUUAGUGAAGUUGUCUCCUUGACCUGUUGAAGACUCAAUGAAAAUAAAUUAGAGCUGAGCUUUAAACCAUUCAUUCCUUCCCACUUCCCAUGUUUCUAAUUGUUUUGGGUCCUGAUUUAGAGAAAGCCAAUAAAAUAUUAUGGCUUUCUAAGCUAUCAAUUAAUGGACAAUUUAGAAAAUGCUUAUGGGUUGUCUUCCAUCUCCAAACUUGGUGGAGCAAAUUGAAAUGGAUGACUCAUGUCUAGGGGAUCAAGCAUGUUAAAUCAAUGAACAUGUUUGCUUGAAUCUCAUCUCCUAAUGAGCUGAAACAGAUAGAACAUUUCUCAUGCAUCCAGAUGGAAUUAUUUUGGAAAGUAAACUAAUGCACAUGCCCACACAAAAUUCCUCUGCUAUCUCUAGCCAGAUUCUGUUAGCUGUUCACCAAGAUGAUUUACCAACAAUAUGAGGUUGGGCUGCUUCUUUAUAUUAUUGGCUCCACAGGAAUUCUUCCAGAAGACAAUAUUUUUUCUAUUUUGUUUUGUUCAAUUUAAUAAUAUCAUGUACAAUAUUUUCUAGAUGCUGUGAGUUUGUAUGUGUAUCUUGAAUGUGGGGGAGGUUUAGGUUUUAUGACAGUAAGUGGAAUUCACUUAUUAAGGUUAUUUGACUUAGAAUUGAUUAUUUAUGCCAAUACUUGCUAAUAUUUAAAAUUAUUUCACUGUUCAUUGCCCUUACUAUGUAAAACUCUCUUGAAAGUCACUAAGAAAAAACAUAAACAACUCAAAAUAAAAAAGUAAAUUGGAAUAACUUUUGGAGGUCAGUUUUCCAAUGUGUAUCAAAAGCCCUAAAAAAUAUACUUCCCGUG
RNAcentral lists this long non-coding RNA (3053 nucleotides) under Homo sapiens (human). RNAcentral describes it as "non-protein coding lnc-KLF5-15:2". The record is from RNAcentral. Lineage: Eukaryota; Metazoa; Chordata; Mammalia; Primates; Hominidae.